AUGCACGCUGGCGGCGUGCCUAAUACAUGCAAGUCGAGCGAACAGACGAGGAGCUUGCUCCUCUGACGUUAGCGGCGGACGGGUGAGUAACACGUGGAUAACCUACCUAUAAGACUGGGAUAACUUCGGGAAACCGGAGCUAAUACCGGAUAAUAUAUUGAACCGCAUGGUUCAAUAGUGAAAGACGGUUUUGCUGUCACUUAUAGAUGGAUCCGCGCCGCAUUAGCUAGUUGGUAAGGUAACGGCUUACCAAGGCAACGAUGCGUAGCCGACCUGAGAGGGUGAUCGGCCACACUGGAACUGAGACACGGUCCAGACUCCUACGGGAGGCAGCAGUAGGGAAUCUUCCGCAAUGGGCGAAAGCCUGACGGAGCAACGCCGCGUGAGUGAUGAAGGUCUUCGGAUCGUAAAACUCUGUUAUUAGGGAAGAACAAAUGUGUAAGUAACUAUGCACGUCUUGACGGCACCUAAUCAGAAAGCCACGGCUAACUACGUG
This 496-nucleotide ribosomal RNA is filed under the name uncultured bacterium. RNAcentral's name for it is "partial 16S ribosomal RNA". It matches the Rfam family "Bacterial small subunit ribosomal RNA", at positions 29 to 507 of the family's 1533-position model. The record is from RNAcentral.